RNAcentral lists this ribosomal RNA (731 nucleotides) under uncultured Enterobacterales bacterium. Its description in RNAcentral is "bacterial SSU rRNA". It matches the Rfam family "Bacterial small subunit ribosomal RNA", at positions 61 to 781 of the family's 1533-position model. Lineage: Bacteria; Pseudomonadati; Pseudomonadota; Gammaproteobacteria; Enterobacterales. The record is from RNAcentral.
GUCGAACGGUAACAGGAAGCAGCUUGCUGCUUCGCUGACGAGUGGCGGACGGGUGAGUAAUGUCUGGGAAACUGCCUGAUGGAGGGGGAUAACUACUGGAAACGGUAGCUAAUACCGCAUAACGUCGCAAGACCAAAGAGGGGGACCUUCGGGCCUCUUGCCAUCGGAUGUGCCCAGAUGGGAUUAGCUAGUAGGUGGGGUAACGGCUCACCUAGGCGACGAUCCCUAGCUGGUCUGAGAGGAUGACCAGCCACACUGGAACUGAGACACGGUCCAGACUCCUACGGGAGGCAGCAGUGGGGAAUAUUGCACAAUGGGCGCAAGCCUGAUGCAGCCAUGCCGCGUGUAUGAAGAAGGCCUUCGGGUUGUAAAGUACUUUCAGCGGGGAGGAAGGCGACAGGGUUAAUAACCCUGUCGAUUGACGUUACCCGCAGAAGAAGCACCGGCUAACUCCGUGCCAGCAGCCGCGGUAAUACGGAGGGUGCAAGCGUUAAUCGGAAUUACUGGGCGUAAAGCGCACGCAGGCGGUCUGUCAAGUCGGAUGUGAAAUCCCCGGGCUCAACCUGGGAACUGCAUUCGAAACUGGCAGGCUAGAGUCUUGUAGAGGGGGGUAGAAUUCCAGGUGUAGCGGUGAAAUGCGUAGAGAUCUGGAGGAAUACCGGUGGCGAAGGCGGCCCCCUGGACAAAGACUGACGCUCAGGUGCGAAAGCGUGGGGAGCAAACAGGAUUAG